CAACCCUGAUCCAGCCAUGCCGCGUGCGGGAAGAAGGCCUUCGGGUUGUAAACCGCUUUUGUCAGGGAAGAAACGCGCUGGGCUAAUACCUCGGCGUAAUGACGGUACCUGAAGAAUAAGCACCGGCUAACUACGUGCCAGCAGCCGCGGUAAUACGUAGGGUGCAAGCGUUAAUCGGAAUUACUGGGCGUAAAGCGUGCGCAGGCGGCUUUGCAAGACAGAUGUGAAAUCCCCGGGCUUAACCUGGGAACUGCAUUUGUGACUGCAUGGCUGGAGUGCGGCAGAGGGGGAUGGAAUUCCGCGUGUAGCAGUGAAAUGCGUAGAUAUGCGGAGGAACACCGAUGGCGAAGGCAAUCCCCUGGGCCUGCACUGACGCUCAUGCACGAAAGCGUGGGGAGCAAACAGGAUUAGAUACCCUGGUAGUCCACGCCCUAAACGAUGUCAACUGGUUGUUGGACGGCUUGCUGUUCAGUAACGAAGCUAACGCGUGAA
RNAcentral lists this ribosomal RNA (492 nucleotides) under uncultured bacterium. Its description in RNAcentral is "bacterial SSU rRNA". It matches the Rfam family "Bacterial small subunit ribosomal RNA", at positions 378 to 863 of the family's 1533-position model. The record is from RNAcentral.